GCCCGGGUGGUGGAAUUGGUAGACACGCUACUUUGAGGGGGUAGUGACCGAAAGGUCGUGCAGGUUCAAAUCCUGUCCCGGGCACAA
This 87-nucleotide transfer RNA is filed under the name Bacteroidota bacterium. RNAcentral describes it as "Bacteroidetes bacterium tRNA-Leu". It matches the Rfam family "tRNA". Rfam says of the family: Transfer RNA (tRNA) molecules are approximately 80 nucleotides in length. Their secondary structure includes four short double-helical elements and three loops (D, anti-codon, and T loops). The record is from RNAcentral. Lineage: Bacteria; Pseudomonadati; Bacteroidota.